This is a small nucleolar RNA of Fukomys damarensis (Damara mole-rat), 143 nucleotides long. NCBI's taxonomy places the organism in Eukaryota, Metazoa, Chordata, Mammalia, Rodentia, Bathyergidae. The record is from Ensembl.
GGUUGUGGUAGUUUUUUUCUCACACAUUUGUUAAGUUUUCAAAUGAGCCUGACUCUGCCACAUAUAUUGUAAGGAGCUGGUGAAAGCUUAAAGAUAGAAAGUUGUCUUGAGCUUUUGUGUAUCAGAUAUUAGCUGUCACAGUU